This 458-nucleotide ribosomal RNA is filed under the name uncultured bacterium. RNAcentral describes it as "partial 16S ribosomal RNA". It matches the Rfam family "Bacterial small subunit ribosomal RNA", at positions 338 to 795 of the family's 1533-position model. The record is from RNAcentral.
CCUACGGGAGACAGCAGUGGGGAAUAUUGCACAAUGGGGGAAACCCUGAUGCAGCGACGCCGCGUGAGUGAAGAAGUAUUUCGGUAUGUAAAGCUCUAUCAGCAGGGAAGAAAUAGCGACCUUUGGGUCGCCAGCCGGUAUCUGCCUAAGAAGCGCCGGCUCACUACGGGCCAGCAGCCGCGGUAAUAUGGAGGGGGUACGCGUUAUCCGGAGUUACUGGGGGUAAAGGGAGCGUGGACGGCAGGACAAGUCUGAAGUGAAAUGCCGGGGCUUAACCCCGGAACAGCUGUUGAAACUGGGCAGCUAGAGUGCAGGAGAGGUAGGUGGAAUGCGUGGUGUAGCGGUGAAAUGCGUAGAUAUUAGGAAGAACACCAAUGGCGAAGGCAGCUUACUGGACUUUAACUGACGUUGAUGCUCGAAAGCGUGGGGAGCAAACAGGAUUAGAUACCCCAGUAGUC